ACAGCUUUCUCUCGCACAUCGUCAGCUAGAUUUGAACUCUGUAUGAAAGCUGACGAAGUGCGAGGGAAAGCUGAAG
Molecule: microRNA precursor, 76 nt
Organism: Caenorhabditis elegans
Lineage: Eukaryota; Metazoa; Nematoda; Chromadorea; Rhabditida; Rhabditidae
Source: Ensembl